GGAAGAAUGUUCACUCCAGAGCAAGAGACCCAUAUAGUGAACAUGAAUAAGAAUGAAGCAAAUUUACAGAGUUCCUUUCGAGAGAAACACAGAACGUGUAAAGCAACUGCGAUAUGACUAUGUGCAGAGAGUGAUGGAACUAGAAGCAGAUGCCAUGGGACAUGAGCUACUUUUUGUAGAUGAGGCCGGUUUUAACCUCAGUAAAACCAGGAGACGUGGCAGGAACAUUAUUGGACACCGUGCCAUCAUCAAUGUCCCAGGACAACGUGGUGGUAACAUAACCAUGUGUGCAGCUAUAAGCCAAAAUGGUGUUGUUCACCAUCAUGCAACCAUAGGCCCAUACAACACUGCACACAUUAUUGCAUUCCUGGACACCUUACAUGA
Long non-coding RNA from Tachysurus fulvidraco (yellow catfish), 384 nucleotides. RefSeq lists it as uncharacterized. The transcript is spliced from 3 exons. The record is from RefSeq and is a predicted model, not a curated record. NCBI's taxonomy places the organism in Eukaryota, Metazoa, Chordata, Actinopteri, Siluriformes, Bagridae.